This 469-nucleotide ribosomal RNA is filed under the name Fusarium oxysporum. RNAcentral's name for it is "eukaryotic LSU rRNA". The stretch from base 113 to 266 matches the Rfam family "5.8S ribosomal RNA". The record is from RNAcentral. Lineage: Eukaryota; Fungi; Ascomycota; Sordariomycetes; Hypocreales; Nectriaceae.
CUUGUUGCCUCGGCGGAUCAGCCCGCUCCCGGUAAAACGGGACGGCCCGCCAGAGGACCCCUAAAACUCUGUUUCUAUAUGUAACUUCUGAGUAAAACCAUAAAUAAAUCAAAACUUUCAACAACGGAUCUCUUGGUUCUGGCAUCGAUGAAGAACGCAGCAAAAUGCGAUAAGUAAUGUGAAUUGCAGAAUUCAGUGAAUCAUCGAAUCUUUGAACGCACAUUGCGCCCGCCAGUAUUCUGGCGGGCAUGCCUGUUCGAGCGUCAUUUCAACCCUCAAGCACAGCUUGGUGUUGGGACUCGCGUUAAUUCGCGUUCCUCAAAUUGAUUGGCGGUCACGUCGAGCUUCCAUAGCGUAGUAGUAAAACCCUCGUUACUGGUAAUCGUCGCGGCCACGCCGUUAAACCCCAACUUCUGAAUGUUGACCUCGGAUCAGGUAGGAAUACCCGCUGAACUUAAGCAUAUCAAUA